This is a long non-coding RNA of Gasterosteus aculeatus aculeatus (three-spined stickleback), 986 nucleotides long. NCBI's taxonomy places the organism in Eukaryota, Metazoa, Chordata, Actinopteri, Perciformes, Gasterosteidae. The record is from Ensembl.
AAGCAAACAGUUUUCGACUGUGCCAGUGUGCGUGUGUGCCUUUGUGCGAACAGGAGGACGAUGAUGAAGCUGGAGAUAAUCUGGAUGAUCCUGAGCUAUGGCAUGACUUAACCCUAGAAGACCAGCAAACCGUCAAUGCUGCUGUGGCAAACAAACAGUGCCUCCAGUGUUUUGCACACACAUUGCAGCUGGUUGUGGGAGACGGUUUGAAAGAAACAAAAGCGGCAUGUCCUUCUCUCUCCAAGUUAUCAAAACUUAGCUCCCUGCUCCACACAAGCACAACGUUUAAAGACAUCUUCGAUGGUGAAUUUGGGGAGCACAGAGGCAUCCCUGCUGCAGUGAGUACGAGGUGGAAUUCCACACUGCGGCAGGUGAAAGCAGUCCGUCAUUGUGAUCAGCAAAAGCUCUGCGCAAUUCUUGAAAAGGCCGGGCAUAAAGAACUGUCCUUCACACCACGAGAGUGGAAUCUGCUGAAGGAGUUGGUGGACAUCUUGAAACCGUUCGGAGAAGCAACUGAUUUGACACGGGGAGAAAUUCAUUACAAUCAGUGCAGUUGUUCCAUCCGUCUUAUCCCUCAAUCAUCAUCUUGAGAAGCUGAAGCCUCAAGUUUGUUUCCUGAGCGGCCUGGUCAGAGGUCUGCAGGCCUCCCUGAAAAAAGGAUUUCCUGGGAUCUUCAUUAAUGUGAAAAUGGCCCAGUUUGAAGAAGGGAUCACUGCCCCCUUUUCAGACACAGUCUCCCUGAAAGCAGCUGCCUUGGAUCCAGCCUUUUCUGCUGCUGUGGAUUGAGCCCCAUGUGCUGGUCAACCGUGACAUCAAGGCAGAGGUGGCACAACGAGUUAAGGAAUUGAUCCUGCAAGAUGCUGCAGAGACAGAGCAACCUGUGCUGCUGCCUGCUGAAGAAGAACUAGAGGACAUGGAAGGAGAAGGGCUGUUUGCUGCAUACCAUAAGAGGCAGAAAAGGGAUGUUGGGACCCCACCUGGGGCCU